AUGCGUCUUCUUGCUCCAGCAUUCAAGUUCCAUUUCAAGGGAGGACGACGUACCAUGAUACUUUCUGUUUUGUCGAGCCCUGCUUUGGUCUCUGGUUUGAUGGUUGUACGUGCUAAUCCGGUACAUUCCAUUUUGUUUCCCAUCCUAGUCUUUUGCAACGCUUCUGGUUUACUUAUUUUGUUAGGUCUCGACUUCUCCGCUAUGAUCUCCCCAAUAGUUCAUAUAGGAGCUAUUGUCGUUUCAUUCCUAUUCAUGGUUAUGAUGUUCAAUAUUCAAAUAGCGGAGAUUCACGAAGAAGUAUUGCGCUAUUUACUAGUGAGUGGUAUUAUUGGACUGAUCUUUUGGUGGGAAAUGUUCUUCAUUUAG
This 366-nucleotide ribosomal RNA is filed under the name Triticum aestivum (bread wheat). RNAcentral's name for it is "partial small subunit ribosomal RNA". Lineage: Eukaryota; Viridiplantae; Streptophyta; Magnoliopsida; Poales; Poaceae. The record is from RNAcentral.